GUAGCUCAAUUGUGCAGCACAUAGACUAAAAUUGGAAUGAUAUAGAGAUGAUGAGCAUGGCCCCUGGGCAAGGAUGACAUGCAAAUUCAUCAACUGUUCAAUAUUUUU
Small nuclear RNA from Mustela putorius furo (domestic ferret), 108 nucleotides. The record is from Ensembl. NCBI's taxonomy places the organism in Eukaryota, Metazoa, Chordata, Mammalia, Carnivora, Mustelidae.